This 468-nucleotide ribosomal RNA is filed under the name uncultured bacterium. RNAcentral describes it as "partial 16S ribosomal RNA". It matches the Rfam family "Bacterial small subunit ribosomal RNA", at positions 28 to 507 of the family's 1533-position model. The record is from RNAcentral.
GACGAGCGCUGGCGGCGUGCUUAACACAUGCAAGUCGAACGGAAAGGCCCUGCUUUUGUGGGGUGCUCGAGUGGCGAACGGGUGAGUAACACGUGAGUAACCUGCCCUUGACUUUGGGAUAACUUCAGGAAACUGGGGCUAAUACCGGAUAGGAGCUCCUGCUGCAUGGUGGGGGUUGGAAAAUUUCGGCGGUUGGGGAUGGACUCGCGGCUUAUCAGCUUGUUGGUGGGGUAGUGGCUUACCAAGGCUUUGACGGGUAGCCGGCCUGAGAGGGUGACCGGCCACAUUGGGACUGAGAUACGGCCCAGACUCCUACGGGAGGCAGCAGUGGGGAAUAUUGCACAAUGGGCGGAAGCCUGAUGCAGCAACGCCGCGUGCGGGAUGACGGCCUUCGGGUUGUAAACCGCUUUCGCCUGUGACGAAGCGUGAGUGACGGUAAUGGGUAAAGAAGCACCGGCUAACUACGUG